UACGAAGGGGGCUAGCGUUGCUCGGAAUCACUGGGCGUAAAGCGCACGUAGGCGGAUUCUUAAGUCAGGGGUGAAAUCCUGGAGCUCAACUCCAGAACUGCCUUUGAUACUGAGGGUCUUGAGUUCGGGAGAGGUGAGUGGAACUGCGAGUGUAGAGGUGAAAUUCGUAGAUAUUCGCAAGAACACCAGUGGCGAAGGCGGCUCACUGGCCCGAUACUGACGCUGUGGUGCGAAAGCGUGGGGAGCAAACAGG
RNAcentral lists this ribosomal RNA (253 nucleotides) under uncultured bacterium. RNAcentral's name for it is "partial 16S ribosomal RNA". It matches the Rfam family "Bacterial small subunit ribosomal RNA", at positions 524 to 776 of the family's 1533-position model. The record is from RNAcentral.